GAUGAACGCUAGCUACAGGCUUAACACAUGCAAGUCGAGGGGCAGCAUGGUCUUAGCUUGCUAAGGCCGAUGGCGACCGGCGCACGGGUGAGUAACACGUAUCCAACCUGCCGUCUACUCUUGGACAGCCUUCUGAAAGGAAGAUUAAUACAAGAUGGCAUCAUGAGUCCGCAUGUUCACAUGAUUAAAGGUAUUCCGGUAGACGAUGGGGAUGCGUUCCAUUAGAUAGUAGGCGGGGUAACGGCCCACCUAGUCUUCGAUGGAUAGGGGUUCUGAGAGGAAGGUCCCCCACGUUGGAACUGAGACACGGUCCAAACUCCUACGGGAGGCAGCAGUGAGGAAUAUUGGUCAAUGGGCGAGAGCCUGAACCAGCCAAGUAGCGUGAAGGACGACUGCCCUAUGGGUUGUAAACUUCUUUUAUAAAGGAAUAAAGUCGGGUAGGGAUACCCGUUUGCAUGUACUUUAUGAAUAAGGAUCGGCUAACUCCGUG
This 490-nucleotide ribosomal RNA is filed under the name uncultured bacterium. Its description in RNAcentral is "partial 16S ribosomal RNA". It matches the Rfam family "Bacterial small subunit ribosomal RNA", at positions 28 to 507 of the family's 1533-position model. The record is from RNAcentral.